Molecule: ribosomal RNA, 230 nt
Filed under: Escherichia coli
Lineage: Bacteria; Pseudomonadati; Pseudomonadota; Gammaproteobacteria; Enterobacterales; Enterobacteriaceae
Description: partial 23S ribosomal RNA
Rfam family: Bacterial large subunit ribosomal RNA
Source: RNAcentral
CCCUUGAAAGUGUGCGUAAUAACUCACUGAUCGAACACUCUUGCACUGCUGAAGCUAUAGGGUGUAAAAAUGCCUCUGUAGGGGAGCAUUCCGCCGCAGAAACGAGAAUGUCGGCUUUAGUAACGCAAACAUUGGUCAGUAUCCAAUGCCCCGAGAACCUAAGGGUUCCUUUGCAAGAUUCAUCCACAGAGGGUGAGUCAGGGCCUAAGAUCAAGCUGAAAGGAGUAGUC